This 7444-nucleotide long non-coding RNA is filed under the name Phaseolus vulgaris (common bean). RNAcentral describes it as "long non-coding RNA (PVUL_LNC000502)". Lineage: Eukaryota; Viridiplantae; Streptophyta; Magnoliopsida; Fabales; Fabaceae. The record is from RNAcentral.
UUGAUUUAUGCUGUAGAUCCACUGGCCAGUCCGCAUGAAAAGUGGAUCAGUUGAAUUCAAGAAUGAAAAUCUGAUUCAACCAGACAUUCCCAGCACAUGGAGAGCAAUGGAGGCACUUUAUGACUCUGGCAAGGCUAGAGCCAUUGGAGUGAGGAAUUUCUCUUCAAAGAAGCUUCAAGAUUUGUUGGAUAUAGCAAGAGUACCUCCUGCUGUUAACCAAGUGGAAUUGCACCCAGGAUGGCAACAACCAAAGUUGCAUGCAUUUUGUGAAUCUAAAGGAAUACAUAUAUCUGUAAGUAUGGAAUGUAUGAUACACACUUGUUGGUACUUUCACAAAAAUACGAGCCUGUUAUUCCUGUAAGUUAUUAGUUGCAAAGAAAAUGAUCACUUUUGGUGAAAUUGUCUACAGGGCUAGUUGAAAAUGAAUUUGGUUUGUACUCAAAUUAAAUUGAUGGUUUCUCAACAACCAUUCUUUAUUAUUCUGAUAUUUUCAUUCUAAUUGUAUAUAUGAUGAAUUUCUUUCCAGGGCUACUCUCCACUAGGCUCACCAGAGUAUCUGAAAAGUGACAUUCUUAAGAAUCCUGUUGUGGUAGAGAUUGCAGAGAAAUUGGGGAAGACACCAGCUCAAGUGGCCCUCAGGUGGGGAUUGCAAUCAGGUCAUAGUGUGCUGCCAAAAAGUACUAAUGAGUCCAGGAUCAUGGGAAACUUUGAUGUCUUUGACUGGUCUAUUCAAGAAGAACUAAUGGCCAAGUUCUCUGAAAUCAAGCAGGCAAGUAGUUAGUUAAUUAGGGUGUGUUUAAUUUCUUUUUCAAAAGCUUUUUCUAGUUUAAAAGAUUCAAUUAAACCUUACCUAAGGCUUAAAACAAGAAGAGAAACAUUCUGUUCUUUUAGACUUUAAAAUACUUAUUUUGAAAUAAUUUUCAAAACUUCAUACAUUUUGGAUCAUAAAUUUUCAAAACUUAAAAGAUUAUGGAUGACUAAUGAAUUGGUGAGUGAGUCCUGUGAAAUUAUUAUGUAAAACAAUUUUUAAAAGAAAAAAAAGGUGCGAGAAGGGAAUUAAACAUGCCCUUGGUAGAAUCUAGUUUUCUGUUCUUUCUGGUAUGUGGUUGCUUACCAUCUUUAAUUACCUUGAAUUAUGCUUGUGUGCCAUAGCAUUAUAAUCCCAUCAAUGGCCUUAAAGCUUGAUUUUUUUUGAAUUAAAAGAAGGAAUUUGGUGAUGCAGGAAAGGCUACUUAAGGCCACAUUUUUUACCGACGAGACCUAUGGUGCCUAUAAGACCAUUGAAGAACUCUGGGAUGGUGAACUCUGACAAAUGUCCAUCAUUGAGACGUUGAAAUUUACAUUGUUCCUCAAGAAGACUGGUUCUUACUUUUUACCUGUUUUAACAGUGUUAUUAUUGUUAAAGAACACAAAAUAAGUAACCAAGUCUUAUUUUUCAUUUAUGAUUAUUUUUCUACUCGAUAUAAUAAAAAUGAGGGUUGAGAAUUUGACUAAUCUAAAAGGAGUUAAUUAGUAACUAAUUAGACAUUAAUUUAGAAACUAGUUUAUAAAUUUUAUUAAUAACAAAAAUAUUUUAGAUAUUAAUAAUUUUUUUAUUCUCUAAAACUGUAUCUAAUUUAGUUGAUAUAAUUGUACUUGUAUAGACGAAAUGGGCCUAGAUAGUACCUGUGAUUGAGUGUAACAACUGUUGUGAUGUCAGUCGCUUAGUAAUCCUCUUAUUCCUCAGUACUUCAUUCCUUCAAACGUCAAGACUCUUUCUUCGUAAUCCCCUCAGUGCUUGUUCGGGAGUUAACCUGCAAAAGGUACUCUGACGAUCAAAUAAGUAAUAUGUAUUAAGAGUGUAUAAUGAAAAUGAUAAAAAACAUACCUUACUCCACUCUGGAGAACAUAUUUAUAAAAUUGAGUUAUGUGGCCAUAUGUUUGAUGAGUCAAAUCUAGUAUGUAUCAGUAUUAGCUGAUUUCUAGGGAAGUUAACCUGAUUUCUCAGGACAUUACCCGAAUUUGAUGGGAUGUGACCAUGAUUCAUAGGGAGUUCCCACAAUUGCCUUAAUUGUCAUUUAUUACAACGCAGGAAGUCACAUAACCCUAGAAAAUUAGGUUAAAUAGGAGGCUAGAUGCACAAUCCUAGGAUGCUAGAUUGAGAGGAAAAAAUCAUAGAGUGAAUUGUAACCCAAUUGGGAAUAGAAGGUUCUAGAAGUAUGCGUGACUAAUUCUACCCUUUGGGAUUAAGAGUAAUCUGCUCAAACUCUUAUGUACUGAGGUGAUAUCUUAUAUAUUAAUAUUUAGUUCUUGAUUGAUUAUUGGUAUUGUUGUUUUACUUUUAACUUUCUGUGACAAAUUGAAAAUCUUAAAUCUGACAGGGAGGUGUUUUUAGGGUUCAGACCUAAAUAACAAUACUUACCAUAUUUGAGUGUUAGGAAUACACUUGAAAUGUUAAUUGACAUUAAUGUCUGAGUGUGAUUCUAAGUUGUUUUUAUAAAUAUGUGAGGGAUAGAUAUUUACGAAACAUUCUUAAGGAUUUUUAUAUGCGAGGAAUCGAUAUAAAUGAAUUUUCUACGGGCAUCAAUUUCAAUAAAAAAACUUAAUAUUAACAUGCUAAUCAAAAUACAUGAGAGUGAGAGAGAUGAAACCUAAUCCCUAUUUUUCCAAUUGAAGCAAUUAAUUCUUUGUUUGUUUUCUUAUUAAUCAUUGCCAACAUGAUUACGUGAACACUUUUUUUAAUUGUUUUUGUUUUAUAUUUAGUGAUCAUUGUAGUUAGUAAUUCACUAUUUCCUGCGGGAUCGAUAUUCGUCCUUACGGACAAUUAUUACUUAUGACAAAGCAGUGCACUUGUCGGAAAAAGUCAUCACCCCCUGUAGGCAUCCCCAAGUAUUUGGAAGGAGUUUUCAUAACAUCACAAUUAAGAAUAGCUGCAAAACAAUAAAUCAUAAAUUGAUCAACCCCCACCCCUCAAAUACUACUCUUCAAGACGUAGCUCAAAAAAAUUGAAAAUAGCCUUUAUGUUGAACAUGCUUUUGGUAGUCACUUUGCAAAAAAAACAAAGUAUCAUCAACAUAUUGAAGCAUAUUAACCUUAACCUUCUUAUCCCCAAUCUCCAAACUUUCCAUCAAAUCUUUCUCAACCACUUUCCUUAACACUCCUGCUAAGCUUUUAGCCGUUAUAAGAAACAAAAUUGGAGCUAAGGGAUCUCCUUGUCUCAAAUCCUUUAACAGAAAAAAUUCCUUAGCCAAGCUACCAUUUACGAGAACAGACACAGAAGCAUACUCUAAACAAGAUUUAAUCCAAACAAUCCAUUUUUAACAUAAGCCUAAUCUUCCUAACAUAUAAUAGAUAAACUCCCACCUCACAUAAUCGUAAGCCUUCUCAUAAUCCACCUUGAAAAAGACACAACUUUUCUUCUUUCUUUUUGCCUCCUCUGACACCUCAUUGGCCACAGGAACACUAUCCAAUAGUCCCCUUCCUUUGAGAAUAGUUGAUUGCCUUGAAUCAAUGACUUUAAUAAUCACCAUUUUUAGCCUUAAAGAUAGUAACUUCAAAAUAAUUUUGUACUAGCACUCGACCAAAGUAAUGGAUCUAAAAUCACGAAGUUGUUGUGGAUUCUCUGACUUAGGGACCAAGCAAACAAACGAAACAUUCGACCAUCUAAGCCAUUUAUCAGAAAUUGCGAAAUCAUUCACUAUCAUAAGGAUAUCCCCUUAAAAAAACCCACAAAACUUAAUGAAACUAAAAUUAAACCCAUCCGAACCAGGACUUUUCGAACUAUCACAACUCCAAAUAGCAAACUUGACUUCCUCUUCAAAAAAAGAACUAACCAACAUCUCGUUGCCAACAUCAUAAUAGAAUUAAAGGACACACUAUCCAACCUGACCUGAGGCCCAACAACUCCUUCAAAUCUAAUCUUAAAGAAAUCUCUAACCUUGUCCUUAACCACCUCCUUGUCUUCACAUCAGAGACCAUUAACAAACAAAUCAUUAAACCCCUUCCUCACCCUCCUCCAUUUUACAUCCAAAUGGAAAAACUUUGAAUUAAGGUCACCAUGUUUCAGCCACUUAAGGCGGGCUUUCUGAUGAAUAAUAACUUCUUGUUUAAAUAAAUUUCUGUGUUUUUUCUUUUUUGCUAACAAGGUCCUCAUCUCCUCUCUUCCUUCCUCGUCUAAGACGCCUUCAUCAUCACGUGCAUCCAACUCUUGGAUUUUCUUUUGUAGAACUUCCCCUAUCUGAAUAACAUUGCUAAACACAUCUCUAUUCCAGAUUUUUAAAUUUGAUUUUAACUUUUUAAUUUUUCUUUUAGAACAAACAUCCCUAUGCCAUGUACCUCACAACUAAACUAUUUACAACGUACACAAUCUUUGAAUCUGCUGUCACUUUUCCAAAUAUCGAGACUUUGAAAUGGUUUCGGCUCCCAAUCCAAACUAGUAUCUUUUAACACUAAAGCACAAUGAUCAAAGACAGAUAUACUUAUUACAAACUAUUUACUACUCGACCACUCUUCCAACCAUUCCUUGAAAUCCAAAACUUUGUCAAUUCUACUUUUAACAGACCCAUUCGAUUUGUACCAAGUAAAUUUCCGACCAACCAUCGCAAUAUCCACCAAGUCAUCUUUUUUCUAUAAAAUUAUUAAAGCCACUUAUUUUACCCUAUAAUCAGACACAUAAAUCAAAUUUUUUCUCUCCUCCUUCCUUCUAAUAGAAUUGAAAUCCCAUACAACGCAUCAGUCCCUGUUUAAUUGGCUCAACCUGAAUACACUGGUCUCAUCCCAAAUCAUCUUUUUUUCCCUCAACGAACCAGUAAACAUUCACAGUAGUAACUUGUAUCCCGUCACCAAACAUCCACUCCCUUUCAAUAAUAGAAUUUUUUUUUCCAUUAAAAGACCUUGAUAACUAAAAGCAGUUCCUUCUCCACAUUGUAAUAAUCUCUCUUGCAUUAUUGCUAGUACCAUUUUCAACCUAAUCAAUUUCAUUAGAAUCCCACAAAUUAAAACAAUUCUCUUUGUCAAACUCUGAACACUUAGUCUCUUGAAUACAUACAAUUCUUACUUGUUCCUUGUAAAUUAAAUCUUUUAGAAAUCUUCUUUUAAUGUUUCCUCCUAACCCCCUAAUAUUCAAACUAAUUAUUUUCAUCAUUAGAAACAAUGUUCUCAUUCCUUUUGAAACUCGUCUUACUUUUGUCUCGAUCUUCCAAAGACAAUAAACUACUUAAAACCACAUCUUCCUCACCAUUAAGCAAAAAGCCCAGCUCUUUACAAAUAUUUCAAAAUUUUAAACACUACAAGAAAAACAUGAAAUAGAAACCAAAUUUAGAGACCAAAAACAAUAAGUUGCUAUAGUAACUAAAUUAGAGAUCAUUUUAGAAACUAAAAAAAAAAUGGUUUCUAAAGUAGUUUCUAUUACAAUUUCUAACAAUACUAUAAUACUAUAAUAUAAAGUAAUAAAAUUUCCUAACCUCUCGACUGACAACUCUCUCUAAGAAAAAAAAAAUGUUGUAUAAAGAUAAACAAAUUUUAUCAUGUCAAUAUAAAAAACAAUUAAUUAUCCAAAAAUUUGGUAGAAUAAACUUUUUUUUCUUACAUUCAUUUGAUUUACUUUUUAAAAAGAUGGCAAUUUUCAUGAGUUAAGGUUUCUGGGAAUGGUUUUAGCCAAAUUUUCAAAAAAACAUUUUGUGAGAGAUAUGCGUAACGAAUUUAUUUUUAGAAGUAAAUAAAAUUUACUAAAAGUAAAACCGUAUUAUUUUUAUUAAAUCGUUUAUAAUAUGGUAAAAUUUACAUGCGUCAUUUCACCGUCCUUUUAUUUGUUUAGGGUGACCUCAUCAUUUGUGCCAAUAUAGUAAUUGCUUCAAAAUAUUAAAAUUUAACGCAUUUCAAUUUUUGCGGUCACUCUUAUCCUUUAGGUAAUUAAACAUUUAUUUUUAAUUGAGACAAAUAUUUUUUUUCUGACAAUCAUCGAUACUUAAUGAAUAUUUAAGAAUGGUUUGAAUUAAGUGUGUGUCGGAAUAGGUAUAACUGGUCACUGUUGGGAAUCUAAUCCACCCUUAAAUGAUUCAUGUUCAUGUUUUCGCCCAUAAAUUGCAUCGAACUCAAACCACCCAUUAGCAGUGUUUGGAUAUUAUUCUACCAAUUUGUGCUUAUUAUUAUUAUUAUUGAGAGAAAAAAUGGGCAAGUUAAUCCAAUUCUUUGAGUUGAACACAGGGGCCAAAAUCCCUUCUAUUGGGUUAGGCACAGCGAAAGCUGAACCAGGAGUUGUACCAAAAGCUGUCACCACAGCCAUUCAGGUAACUAAAACUUUAUUUCAAUUAAUUUUUUCCCCUUUUUCUAUCGAAACAUUUUUGUUGUUUCGAUUUGUCCUAUGUAGGAGUGAUAAUGAUUUUGAUGUCGGGUCACUGUUGUUCAGGUUGGAUACAGGCACAUUGACUGUGCUCAAUUUUAUGACAAUCAAGCAGAGGUAAUAAUGAUUCAAGUUGAUAACUUUUGUAGUCCAGGGUCCAUUUUUUUCUCAUCUUUUCAAUUUUUUAUUUUGUAAUAUUGCCUUUGCUCUCUUGUAAUAUGUGAACUGUGGAAAAUUUUUAAUUGUGGGAUGUUUCAGGUUGUGCUAUUAUUGUUAUGUAGUUUUGUUUUAACAAAAAUAGAAAAGUAGUGAGAACUCAGUCAAUUUUGGAAGCUAAUUUUCAUUUUAUUUUGAAUCAUGGUUUUCCCAGAUUGGUUCUGCACUUAAGAAAGUUUUUGAUGAUGGCGUGGUGAAGCGUGAGGACUUAUGGAUAACUUCCAAACUCUGGUUUGCUGUCUUUUGAAAAUUGUGUUCUAUGUUUGAACGUUGGAAAAGGUUGUGUGUUUGGUUGCUGAAUGGAGAUCCUUUGCUCUGUUGGCUAUAUUUUCAGGUGUACUGAUCAUGCUCCAGAAGAUGUGCCAAAAGCAUUGGAUAAAACAUUACAGGACUUGCAACUUGACUACCUUGAUCUCUAUCUGGUAAGCAUGCAUUAUGUUUACUGAUAAUGGGACUCAAGAUUUCAAUCAAUAGGAUCUUUUUGAAAAAGAGGGUCUAAGAGUAUAUUGUUAACAUUGUUUUACAAAUAAGGCUUUCACAAGUGAACAAUGUUCAAUGGUUUCAUUCAUGUAAUUCUACUAACUUUGGUUAUCUGGGGUUCAUUCAGUAUUAUUUUGAGUCUCUUCCUUCAUACAAACUAAAUUGAUUUAUGGUGUAGAUCCACUGGCCAGUCCGCAUGAAAAGUGGAUCAGUUGGAUUCAAGAAUGAAAAUCUGAUUCAACCAGACAUUCCCAGCACAUGGAGAGCAAUGGAAGCACUCUAUGACUCUGGCAAGGCUAGAGCCAUAGGAGUGAGCAAUUUCUCUUCAAAGAAGCUUCAAGAUUUGUUGGAUAUAGCAAGAGUGCCUCCUGCUGUUAACCAAGUGGAAUUGCACCCAGGAUGGCAACAACCAAAGUUGCAUGCAUUUUG